Molecule: ribosomal RNA, 460 nt
Filed under: uncultured bacterium
Lineage: Bacteria
Description: partial 16S ribosomal RNA
Rfam family: Bacterial small subunit ribosomal RNA
Source: RNAcentral
CCUACGGGUGGCAGCAGUGAGGAAUAUUGGUCAAUGGGCGGGAGCCUGAACCAGCCAAGUAGCGUGCAGGAUGACGGCCCUACGGGUUGUAAACUGCUUUUAUACGGGAAUAACGCGCCUUACGUGUAGGGCUUUGCAUGUACCGUAUGAAUAAGGACCGGCUAAUUCCGUGCCAGCAGCCGCGGUAUUACGGAAGGUCAGGGCGUUAUCCGAGUUUAUUGGGUUUAAAGGGAGCGUAGGCGGCAUGUCACGGGUGCUGGGAAAUGUUCGGGCUCAACCCGGGCCUUGCAGCGCGAACUGGCGUGCUUGAGUCCGCGGAAAGCAGGCGGAAUUCGUGGUGUAGCGGUGAAAUGCUUAGAUAUGACGAAGAACCCCGAUUGCGAAGGCAGCUUGCUGCAGCGGAACUGACGCUGAUGCUCGAAAGCGCGGGUAUCGAACAGGAUUAGAUACCCCAGUAGUC